RNAcentral lists this ribosomal RNA (465 nucleotides) under uncultured bacterium. RNAcentral describes it as "partial 16S ribosomal RNA". It matches the Rfam family "Bacterial small subunit ribosomal RNA", at positions 28 to 507 of the family's 1533-position model. The record is from RNAcentral.
GACGAACGCUGGCGGCGUGCUUAACACAUGCCAGUCGAACGGAAAGGCCCCUUUGGGGGUACUCGAGUGGCGAACGGGUGAGUAACACGUGAGUAACCUGCCCUUGACUUCGGGAUAACUUCAGGAAACUGGGGCUAAUACCGGAUAGGAAUCCUUGCUGCAUGGUGGGGGUUGGAAAGCUUCGGCGGUUUUGGAUGGACUCGCGGCUUAUCAGCUUGUUGGUGGGGUAGUGGCUUACCAAGGCUUUGACGGGUAGCCGGCCUGAGAGGGCGACCGGCCACAUUGGGACUGAGAUACGGCCCAGACUCCUACGGGAGGCAGCAGUGGGGAAUAUUGCACAAUGGGCGGAAGCCUGAUGCAGCAACGCCGCGUGCGGGAUGACGGCCUUCGGGUUGUAAACCGCUUUCAGCAGGGGCGAAGCUUGUGGUGACGGUACCUGCAGAAGAAGCACCGGCUGACUACGUG